RNAcentral lists this ribosomal RNA (1200 nucleotides) under uncultured bacterium. Its description in RNAcentral is "bacterial SSU rRNA". It matches the Rfam family "Bacterial small subunit ribosomal RNA", at positions 182 to 1384 of the family's 1533-position model. The record is from RNAcentral.
GCGAUCGCAUGAUUGCUUGAGGAAAUGGUCCGCCGCUCCGGGAUGGUCUCGCGUCCUAUCAGCUAGUUGGUGAGGUAACGGCUCACCAAGGCAAUGACGGGUAGCUGGUCUGAGAGGACGAUCAGCCACACUGGGACUGAGACACGGCCCAGACUCCUACGGGAGGCAGCAGCAGGGAAUUUUGCACAAUGGGCGAAAGCCUGAUGCAGCGACGCCGCGUGGGGGAUGAAUGCCUUCGGGUUGUAAACCCCUUUCAGGAGGGACGAAGCGAAAGUGACGGUACCUCCAGAAGAAGCCCCGGCCAACUACGUGCCAGCAGCCGCGGUAAUACGUAGGGGGCGAGCGUUGUCCGGAUUUAUUGGGCGUAAAGAGCUCGUAGGCGGCUCAGCAAGUCGGCCGUGAAAACCUGAGGCUCAACCUCAGGACGCCGGUCGAAACUGCUGUGGCUAGGGUUCGGUAGAGGAGAGUGGAAUUCCCCGGUGUAGCGGUGAAAUGCGCAGAUAUCGGGAGGAACACCAGUAGCGAAGGCGGGCUCUCUGGGCCCGACACCGACCGCUGAGGAGCGAAAAGCUAGGGGAAGCAAACAGGGAUUAGAUACCCUGGUAGUCCUAGCCGUAAAACGUUGGGAAACUAGGUGUGGCGGAUUCAUUGACAUCUGCCGUGCCGAAGCUAACGCAUUAAGUUCCCCGCCUGGGGAGUACGGUCGCAAGGCUAAAACUCAAAGGAAUUGACGGGAGCCCGCACAAGCGGCGGAGCAUGCGGCUUAAUUCGAUGGUACCCGAAGAACCUUACCUGGACUUGACAUAAUGGGAAAAACUCUAGAGAUAGGGUGUGCGUAAGCGUCCAUUACAGGUGGCGCAUGGCUGUCGUCAGCUCGUGUCGUGAGAUGUUGGGUUAAGUCCCGCAACGAGCGCAACCCCUAUCCUAUGUUGCCAGCGGAUUAUGCCGGGGACUCAUGGGAGACUGCCGGGGACAACUCGGAGGAAGGCGGGGACGACGUCAAGUCAUCAUGCCCCUUAUGUCCAGGGCUGCACGCAUGCUACAAUGGCAGGUACAACGGGCAGCGAUCCCGCGAGGGUGAGCGAAUCCUUUAAAGCCUGUCUCAGUUCGGAUCGGAGUCUGCAACUCGACUCCGUGAAGUCGGAGUCGCUAGUAAUCGCGAAUCAGCUAAGUCGCGGUGAAUACGUUCUCGGGCUUUGU